GCUCAACCGUAAACAAUUAACUCACACCAACCAACGCCAGGGGAUUACAAGCCAUGCUUAAAACCCAAAGGAUUUGACGGUGUCCUAUCCCACUAGAGGAGCCUGUUCUAUAAUCGAUAAUCCCCGCUAUACCUCACCACUUCUAGCCAUUCAGUCUGUAUACCUCCGUCGAAAGCCUACCAUAUGAAUGCCCUUAGUAGGCACAACGAUGCCCAUCAACACGUCAGGUCAAGGUGCAGCUCACGCAGUGGAAAGCAAUGGGCUACAAUUUCUAAAUUAGAACAAACGAAAAACUAUUUGAAACAAUAGUUUGAAGGUGGAUUUAUUAGUAAAAAGAAAAUAGAGAGUUCUUUUUAACUCGGCUCUGGGACGUGUACAAACCGCCCGUCACCCUCUUCAAAUUACCCAUUUUUAGUUUAUAACCACACUCAUUACCCUUAGAAGAGGUAAGUCGUAACAUGGUAAGUGUACUGGAAAGUGCACUUGGCUUAUUU
RNAcentral lists this ribosomal RNA (494 nucleotides) under Hylarana chalconota (copper-cheeked frog). RNAcentral's name for it is "partial 12S ribosomal RNA". It matches the Rfam family "Bacterial small subunit ribosomal RNA", at positions 794 to 1533 of the family's 1533-position model. Lineage: Eukaryota; Metazoa; Chordata; Amphibia; Anura; Ranidae. The record is from RNAcentral.